UUCCCUGUGGCUCAGUUAGUAGAGCAUGGUGUUUGCAACGCCAGGGUUGUGGGUUCGAUUCCCACGGGGGACG
This 73-nucleotide transfer RNA is filed under the name Salmo salar (Atlantic salmon). It matches the Rfam family "tRNA". Rfam says of the family: Transfer RNA (tRNA) molecules are approximately 80 nucleotides in length. Lineage: Eukaryota; Metazoa; Chordata; Actinopteri; Salmoniformes; Salmonidae. The record is from Rfam by way of RNAcentral.